UCAGAAUUCCUCACUGCUGAUAAACCCUAGCGACGCCGCCCUAAAUUCUCCACUGUCCCAGGGCGGCAGCGCUGUUGCAAAGCGACCCCAAAGUAACACCCCUAACACCUCCUCCAUCUCCUCUUUGCCAAUCUAUGCUCCAUUCCCCUCUAAUAUGUAUGGAACGUGUCGAAUUUUGAAUCUGAGGUUGAGCCCUAGAGGCCCAAAUCCUAAAUCUAUACAUGCGGGUUGCUGUUCUGUUUUUUGUUUUUUUUUUGAGUUUUGGUUUGAUUUUGUUCCUUAAGGAUGUUGUUCGGUUGUUAUUACUAAGAAUAAACGAUUGAUGUUCUUAGGGUACAAAAUCAGAGGGUCU
RNAcentral lists this long non-coding RNA (352 nucleotides) under Nicotiana benthamiana. RNAcentral describes it as "long non-coding RNA (NBEN_LNC027628)". The record is from RNAcentral. Lineage: Eukaryota; Viridiplantae; Streptophyta; Magnoliopsida; Solanales; Solanaceae.